UUGAACGCUGGCGGCAGGCCUAACACAUGCAAGUCGAGCGGAUGAGGGGAGCUUGCUCCUGGAUUCAGCGGCGGACGGGUGAGUAAUGCCUAGGAAUCUGCCUGGUAGUGGGGGAUAACGUCCGGAAACGGGCGCUAAUACCGCAUACGUCCUGAGGGAGAAAGUGGGGGAUCUUCGGACCUCACGCUAUCAGAUGAGCCUAGGUCGGAUUAGCUAGUUGGUGGGGUAAAGGCCUACCAAGGCGACGAUCCGUAACUGGUCUGAGAGGAUGAUCAGUCACACUGGAACUGAGACACGGUCCAGACUCCUACGGGAGGCAGCAGUGGGGAAUAUUGGACAAUGGGCGAAAGCCUGAUCCAGCUAUGCCGCGUGUGUGAAGAAGGUCUUCGGAUUGUAAAGCACUUUAAGUUGGGAGGAAGGGCAGUAAGUUAAUACCUUGCUGUUUUGACGUUACCAACAGAAUAAGCACCGGCUAACUUCGUG
RNAcentral lists this ribosomal RNA (483 nucleotides) under uncultured bacterium. RNAcentral's name for it is "partial 16S ribosomal RNA". It matches the Rfam family "Bacterial small subunit ribosomal RNA", at positions 30 to 507 of the family's 1533-position model. The record is from RNAcentral.